Molecule: non-coding RNA, 112 nt
Organism: Acanthosepion pharaonis
Lineage: Eukaryota; Metazoa; Mollusca; Cephalopoda; Sepiida; Sepiidae
Source: the annotation of a GenBank genome assembly
UACGACGACAUCAUUUUGAAACCCCGGUUCCCGUAUGAUCACAAAAGUUAAGCAACGUUGAGCCUUGUCAGUACCAAGAUGGAUGACCACCUGAGAAUACCAGCCGCUGUAA